CCUGGGGGACUACGGUCGCAAGACUAAAACUCAAAGGAAUUGACGGGGACCCGCACAAGCGGUGGAGCAUGUGGUUUAAUUCGAUGCAACGCGAAAAACCUUACCACUCCUUGACAUGGAGAUUAGAUCCUUCUUAACAGAAGGGCGCAGUUCGGCUGGAUCUCGCACAGGUGCUGCAUGGCUGUCGUCAGCUCGUGUCGUGAGAUGUUGGGUUAAGUCCCGCAACGAGCGUAACCCUCAUCCUUAGUUGCCAGCGGGUAAGCCGGGCACUUUAAGGAAACUGCCGGUGGUAAACCGGAGGAAGGUGGGGAUGAUGUCAAGUCAGCACGGCCCUUAUGGGGUGGGCUACACACGUGCUACAAUGGUGACUACAAUAGGUUGCAAUGUCGCAAGGCUGAGCUAAUCCGUAAAAGUCAUCUCAGUUCGGAUUGUCCUCUGCAACUCGAGGGCAUGAAGUCGGAAUCGCUAGUAAUCGUGGAUCAGCAUGCCACGGUGAAUACGUUCUCGGGUCUUGUACACACUGCCCGUCACGCCAUGGGAAUUGGCUUAACUCGAAGCUGGUGCGCUAAC
Molecule: ribosomal RNA, 570 nt
Filed under: Anaplasma phagocytophilum
Lineage: Bacteria; Pseudomonadati; Pseudomonadota; Alphaproteobacteria; Rickettsiales; Anaplasmataceae
Description: bacterial SSU rRNA
Rfam family: Bacterial small subunit ribosomal RNA
Source: RNAcentral